CCAGAUCCCUAAUGAAGUUUGUAGUUGAGAUAGUAUGCUUUCGUUUGCAUUUCUAACUUCUCCUUUUCGACCCUGCUUGUGUGUUUGUUCCUAGGCAAUGAAUAAAUGUUACUUCCUGUUUCCGAAUUUGAAGAGAAACUUAAGGGAUAUUACUUUGGUUGAAUGAUCCUAAGAUGUCAGAAGCAGAGCGUCAGUCAAAGGAAAGUGAACGGGCAGACCGCAGCUUGUUUGUUCAAGAGCUUCUACUGUCCACUUUGAUGCGGGAAGAAAGUUCCUCCUCAGAUGAGGAAGAACGGGGAGAGAUUGCUGAUUUUGGUGCUAUGGGCUGUGUAGAUAUUAUGCCUCUAGAUGUUGCUUUAGAAAACCUAAAUUUAAAAGAGAAUAGUAAAGGAAAUGAGCCUCCUCUUUGAUGGCAUCCCACUUUGCAGACAAUGUCCUCUGUGCUGUAUUUGCCAAUGAAAGUGGACAACAACUAUUUUGGGUUUGUUUUGGUGAUUGUAAUUUCAGGUCUGUCACUCUUGUUACGUUGUGUACAUUCAAAGGAAGAGAGAAAAGAUAUAUAUGAUAAUCAUUUCCACUUAACCAAUUUUUACUUUUAGCAGGUAAAUAUAGGUUGCAGAGAAAAAGCUCUGCGUCCUGUAGCUUGACGUGCAAAAAGCUCUCCUAAUACUCCACAUUCAAACUGAAGAGGAAAAAAUGAAAAAUCUCUAAUGAAGCUGCUGUGUGUAUUUAUGAAUAUUAAUGAAUAAAAAUUGCUUGGAUGGUUUACCUUAA
Long non-coding RNA from Falco peregrinus (peregrine falcon), 774 nucleotides. RefSeq lists it as uncharacterized. The record is from RefSeq and is a predicted model, not a curated record. NCBI's taxonomy places the organism in Eukaryota, Metazoa, Chordata, Aves, Falconiformes, Falconidae. The transcript is spliced from 2 exons.